RNAcentral lists this ribosomal RNA (1642 nucleotides) under Salmonella enterica subsp. enterica serovar Kentucky. RNAcentral describes it as "partial 23S ribosomal RNA". It matches the Rfam family "Bacterial large subunit ribosomal RNA", at positions 588 to 2215 of the family's 2925-position model. Lineage: Bacteria; Pseudomonadati; Pseudomonadota; Gammaproteobacteria; Enterobacterales; Enterobacteriaceae. The record is from RNAcentral.
GUGGGGUGACUGCGUACCUUUUGUAUAAUGGGUCAGCGACUUAUAUUCUGUAGCAAGGUUAACCGUAUAGGGGAGCCGAAGGGAAACCGAGUCUUAACUGGGCGUUAAGUUGCAGGGUAUAGACCCGAAACCCGGUGAUCUAGCCAUGGGCAGGUUGAAGGUUGGGUAACACUAACUGGAGGACCGAACCGACUAAUGUUGAAAAAUUAGCGGAUGACUUGUGGCUGGGGGUGAAAGGCCAAUCAAACCGGGAGAUAGCUGGUUCUCCCCGAAAGCUAUUUAGGUAGCGCCUCGUGAACUCAUCUUCGGGGGUAGAGCACUGUUUCGGCUAGGGGGUCAUCCCGACUUACCAACCCGAUGCAAACUGCGAAUACCGAAGAAUGUUAUCACGGGAGACACACGGCGGGUGCUAACGUCCGUCGUGAAGAGGGAAACAACCCAGACCGCCAGCUAAGGUCCCAAAGUCACAGUUAAGUGGGAAACGAUGUGGGAAGGCUCAGACAGCCAGGAUGUUGGCUUAGAAGCAGCCAUCAUUUAAAGAAAGCGUAAUAGCUCACUGGUCGAGUCGGCCUGCGCGGAAGAUGUAACGGGGCUAAACUGUGCACCGAAGCUGCGGCAGCGACGCUUAUGCGUUGUUGGGUAGGGGAGCGUUCUGUAAGCCUGCGAAGGUGUCCUGUGAGGGAUGCUGGAGGUAUCAGAAGUGCGAAUGCUGACAUAAGUAACGAUAAUGCGGGUGAAAAGCCCGCUCGCCGGAAGACCAAGGGUUCCUGUCCAACGUUAAUCGGGGCAGGGUGAGUCGACCCCUAAGGCGAGGCCGAAAGGCGUAGUCGAUGGGAAACGGGUUAAUAUUCCCGUACUUGGUGUUACUGCGAAGGGGGGACGGAGAAGGCUAUGUUGGCCGGGCGACGGUUGUCCCGGUUUAAGCGUGUAGGCUGGUUUUCCAGGCAAAUCCGGAAAAUCAAGGCUGAGGCGUGAUGACGAGGCACUACGGUGCUGAAGCAACAAAUGCCCUGCUUCCAGGAAAAGCCUCUAAGCAUCAGGUAACAUCAAAUCGUACCCCAAACCGACACAGGUGGUCAGGUAGAGAAUACCAAGGCGCUUGAGAGAACUCGGGUGAAGGAACUAGGCAAAAUGGUGCCGUAACUUCGGGAGAAGGCACGCUGACACGUAGGUGAAGUGAUUUACUCAUGGAGCUGAAGUCAGUCGAAGAUACCAGCUGGCUGCAACUGUUUAUUAAAAACACAGCACUGUGCAAACACGAAAGUGGACGUAUACGGUGUGACGCCUGCCCGGUGCCGGAAGGUUAAUUGAUGGGGUCAGCGCAAGCGAAGCUCCUGAUCGAAGCCCCGGUAAACGGCGGCCGUAACUAUAACGGUCCUAAGGUAGCGAAAUUCCUUGUCGGGUAAGUUCCGACCUGCACGAAUGGCGUAAUGAUGGCCAGGCUGUCUCCACCCGAGACUCAGUGAAAUUGAACUCGCUGUGAAGAUGCAGUGUACCCGCGGCAAGACGGAAAGACCCCGUGAACCUUUACUAUAGCUUGACACUGAACAUUGAGCCUUGAUGUGUAGGAUAGGUGGGAGGCUUUGAAGUGUGGACGCCAGUCUGCAUGGAGCCGACCUUGAAAUACCACCCUUUAAUGUUU